CUCCUGCCUCAGCCUCCCAAGUAGCUGGGAUUAUAGAUGCCCGCCACCACACCCAGCUAAUUUUUGUAUUUUCAGUAGAAACGGGGUUUCGCCAUGUUGGCCAGGCUGGUCUCGAACUCCUGACCUCAAGUGAUCUGCCCACCUCAGCCUCCCAAAGGGCUGGGAUUACAGGUGUGAGCCACUGCGCCCGCCUGUCUUUUUAAGACAAUAGAAGUUAGUAGGGGCCAGGAGAUCACCUUGGAAUCACAGAAAUUAGAUUUCCUCAAACCAGAUGAUGGGGAGAAGCCAUGGUGGCCUGAAAGAAAUGGCCACCCGGUCUUACCUUACAGGUGCAGAUUCUGCUGGAACCAGCCCUACUGGGCACUCCUGAGCCGCUUGUCCCUGCUACAGCUGUGACACUGGUAGCUCCAGUCACAGAGGGACUUCCGUUCCAUGAGGAGCCUCAGUGGGCGUGCUAGGUGCCAACAGCCCAUGCCGAGGGGCUGCUUCCCUGGCUUCACCUGCUUCCAGCCCUCAUCUUCAGCCAGAAACUCAGCUGCGCCUCUACCCUAAGACUGGUCUCCCGUUGGAGUGUCCUCCUGCCAGCGGGGGGCGCUGUGGGACCCACGAGAACCGCUCCUCCUUGGCUUGACUGCUCCGUCCGUCCCCAGAGAGGAUGAGACUGAAAGAAACUUAACCCAAAGGUGCCAUGACAUUAGGCUGGAAGUGACACUGAGGUGCUGCUAUCUGGCUGGGCAGCUAAUCUGAUCAUUAGCUACUCCCUGUAGCUCACCAAAGCCAGCCUCUGCUUAGAUCUCACACCCGUUGGUUGCUGUCAGCAAAAGGAGACAGGCUCAAGGAAGACUGGACUCCCAGUUGAGAAUGCACACGGGAUAGGGCCUCCUUACUCAGGGCAUAUGGUCUUGGACUAGCAGCGUCUGCAUCUCCUGGGAGCUUCUAGAAAUGCAGAAUGUCAGGCCCCAGCCCAGAUCUGUUGAGUCAUAAUCUGCAUUUUAUCAAGAUACACAGGUAUUUUCCAUGUAGGUUUAAGUUUAGAAGCACUGCACUAGCGGACAUCCUUGCGCCUCAGUUACCCCGCAGAUGGGUCUUUUACUGUGUAAGCAUUUUAUCUGCAUCUCUUCAUUUUCUCUCCUCAUUUCACUUUUUGCCCUAGGAGGUCACAAGCAUCAAUCGUCAUGCAGACUGGAGCUAGAAAAAGAUUGACAAUUUCACCAUGCCUGCCUUAGCAUAUGGCUCUUAGGUUAGUAUAAGGUUGGUCACCAAGUAAUAGGUUUGAGUUUUCAAAACAAUCACUAAGAGGUCUGGAUAUUCAUUCCUAAGUCCUUUCCCUCCCACUAGGGGAGUGUCUUCAAGGCAUCUUGGUUAUGGUCUAGGGUUGUGGAGUGGUUGCCAGGGUUGCCUAAUCCCUAAGUAUCCCAAGUCUUAUCUGAGGAUUGAUGAAAUAUAUCACAUACAAGCCAGACACAGUGGCAUGUGCCUGUAAUCCCAGCCUCUUGGGAGACAGAGGCAGGAAGAUAGCUUGAGUCCAGAAGUUCAAGACGAGCCUGGGCAACAUAGCAAGACCCCAUCUCUAAAAAAAAAAUUGAAAGAAACACAGAAAUAUAUCACAUGCAUGUAUUACUAUUACUCAAUUAUUACAGAGAUACAGAUGCACUUUAAUAAUUCAUUUUGAAAACUUUUUGCAGUGUCUUUUGUUAGUUCCAAUCACUAAGAUGCUGUGUUCCAUGGAAAGGGGCCAUAUUCAUCAAGAAUUUGAGAACCAUGGCUCUAGCGGUCUGAAGCUCCAAGCUCCUAAGACUGCCUAACCAAAACAAAGACACUGGUAUAUAUUUUCCAUUCAUUUAUGAGUUUUCAAAAAAUUUAGGUCUUUAUUAAGAGUUAAAUAUAAACAUUAACUCAUUGUGUUACAGAGAAAUAGGGUCUUUGGAGGAACUGUUUGAACAUGGGUCACAGUUACUUGUUUAUGUAACACGAUUUAGAGGGGUACAAAGAUCCUUGGCAGGAAGGGUAGGAGGAGGAGAUGGAGGAGAUGGGAGAGAAGGAAGGAAGCACCUGUGAAAUCCCUACCUUCAACCUUGUCAGUUUCCAAUUUGCAUAUGCUCAUGUCCCUAAUGAAAAGCACCUCCAAAAUAGACUUCUUUCAUUUAGAUAUAUGUAUUUUUGCGUUAUGACUUUUUCCAUUACAACAGCACAAAACCCAAGAAGGUAGCUGGUGUGGCGAUGCACAACUGUAUUCUCAGUUAUGAGGGAGGCUGAGAUGGGAGAAUCACUUGAGCCCAGGAGUUCGAGGCUACAGUGAUCUAUAAUUGCACCACUACACUCCAGCCUGGGUGACAGAACAACCUCGUCUCUUAAAAAAAAAAAAAUUUAAGUAAACUAGACUUGAAAUCAGGUUUUCAAAUUGCUGUAUUACAAAGUCUUAAAUCACGAUUAAAAAAAUAACAAAACUUGCCUAUAAUCCCAACUACUCAGGAGGCUGAGGUGGAAGAAUCACUUGAACCCAGGAGGCGGAGGUUGCAGUGAGCCGAGACUGCGCCGCUGUACUCAGCCUGCGCGACAGAGUAAGAGUCUGUCUCAAAAAAACAAAGAAACAAACAAACAAAAACAUAAAAAUAACAAAACCCAAGAUGACAUGAAUGUAACAAAGAUAAACAUUUUGUUCUACUGAACAGUUUCUUUUAUCUUGGUCUUGUCCUUCUAAUUUUCUUUCUUUGUGUAUGUUUUAUAUGUUCAUAAGUAGGUAUAGUAUAUGCCUAUAAUUUCCAG
RNAcentral lists this long non-coding RNA (2766 nucleotides) under Homo sapiens (human). RNAcentral describes it as "HSALNT0356480". Lineage: Eukaryota; Metazoa; Chordata; Mammalia; Primates; Hominidae. The record is from RNAcentral.